This 440-nucleotide ribosomal RNA is filed under the name uncultured bacterium. RNAcentral describes it as "partial 16S ribosomal RNA". It matches the Rfam family "Bacterial small subunit ribosomal RNA", at positions 338 to 795 of the family's 1533-position model. The record is from RNAcentral.
CCUACGGGUGGCAGCAGUGGGGGAUAUUGCACAAUGGGGGAAACCCUGAUGCAGCGACGCCGCGUGGGUGAAGAAGCGCCUCGGCGCGUAAAGCCCUGUCAGCAGGGAAGAAAAUGACGGUACCUGAAGAAGAAGCCCCGGCUAACUACGUGCCAGCAGCCGCGGUAAUACGUAGGGGGCAAGCGUUAUCCGGAUUUACUGGGCGUAAAGGGGGCGCAGACGGCGAUGCAAGCCAGGAGGGAAAGCCCGGGGCCCAACCCCGGGACUGCUCUUGAAACUGCGUGGCUAGAGUGCAGGAGGGGCAGGCGGAAUGCCUGGUGUAGCGGUGAAAUGCGUAGAUAUCAGGAGGAACCCCGGUGGCGAAGGCAGCCUGCUGGACUGCAACUGACGUUGAGGCCCGAAAGCGUGGGGAGCAAACAGGAUUAGAUACCCCGGUAGUC